RNAcentral lists this ribosomal RNA (159 nucleotides) under Photinia taishunensis. RNAcentral describes it as "5.8S ribosomal RNA". It matches the Rfam family "5.8S ribosomal RNA". From Rfam's summary of the family: 5.8S ribosomal RNA (5.8S rRNA) is a component of the large subunit of the eukaryotic ribosome. It is transcribed by RNA polymerase I as part of the 45S precursor that also contains 18S and 28S rRNA. Functionally, it is thought that 5.8S rRNA may be involved in ribosome translocation. The record is from RNAcentral. Lineage: Eukaryota; Viridiplantae; Streptophyta; Magnoliopsida; Rosales; Rosaceae.
GACUCUCGGCAACGGAUAUCUCGGCUCUUGCAUCGAUGAAGAACGUAGCGAAAUGCGAUACAUGGUGUGAAUUGCAGAAUCCCGUGAACCAUCGAGUCUUUGAACGCAAGUUGCGCCCGAAGCCGUCAGGCCGAGGGCACGCCUGCCUGGGCGUCGCAC